Molecule: long non-coding RNA, 1389 nt
Organism: Chiroxiphia lanceolata (lance-tailed manakin)
Lineage: Eukaryota; Metazoa; Chordata; Aves; Passeriformes; Pipridae
Exons: 3
Source: RefSeq, a predicted model, not a curated record
UCGUAAAUGGAAAUGGUAAAAGAAGCAGAAGCUGGUGCUCAAGAGUGGUUACCCAGCACUGCCAGACAAACCUCUUACCUUAGCAUGUGCAUAGGUUAUAAGGCUCACCCACUUUUCCAGGGGCUUGGACUUCAGCUGUUUCACUGGGAUACAGUCAUGGAGCACCUUCUGCACAAGUUCAUUGUGGAUGGAAUCUCCAAAUUGGAUAUAACAAUAUUUUGCACCUAUUUCCACCAAAUCCUCCUCCUGAAACAAUUAAUCCAUUAAAAGAGGCCUAGAAAGAUGUCAAAAAGGCCAGAUAGCCUCAUUCAACCUUGAAGCCAGUUUAGGAAUGGGGUUUUCUCCAUUUUUGUCUAGAAAACUCUUAAGAGUCAUCCAGUAUAAGGAGGGGUGAACUUCACACAAUCAUAGCAUCAGAGAAAUUAUUAGCAAAGAUAUUUUAGAAUAAGACCCAGUUUGCCCCUUUGGACACGCCUCCUGCUGCCACAUAAACUGAAAGUUGCAGGGAAGGGAAAAAUACUGAUUAGAGUAUUUUGUGUGACAUCUGGCCCAAUGACCUGGACAGGAAUUGUUCGCUAAGAAGGGAAGGACUGUCCAUAUCCACUGCAAACUUAGUUCGUCUUCAUGCUUUUUUAACGUGGGAAGUGUUAAUACAGUUCUGACUCUUUCGGGGAUAAAUGGGGAGACCCACCUUCUCACAGCGGUACUCCCCAAACCGGACGCCGCGAAUGACUUGGUGGUAAAUGAGAUCCGUGCUGACAGGAUCCUCCUGGGAGUUGUGCCAGGGGGUGAAGAUCUCCUUGCGGAAGUAGAGGCGCCAGGGCGCGUGGCGCUCGUGGGUGCCCCGCUCCCUCACCAGCUGCUCACACUGGGAGAUGGCAUCCAGGACGUGAUCCCGGCCCCCGCCCAGCGACCACACCUGCCACAAAGGGACACUGCAUUACUGGCUUGCCUGCCCUGGGGCUGAGGGAAGGACAACAGGCACCAAGCUCCUGGUCUCCCGACAGCGGGAAAACCUCUGAAAACAUAAGCAGGCUAACUGAACAGCCAGAAGAGGCGUAUCCAAGAAACUGCCCAGGCCAAGGCAGCUGGUUUUCAAUCCCCUUGCGCGAUUGAUUUCCGUGACUGGAUUAAGGAAGAUCUGUUAGCACAGAAGUUCAUUAAACAGAACUGACCACUGAUGGAAUUCCAGCAGUCAAUGGACUUACACAAGGGAUAAGCACGAGUCAUUACCAGUCUGCAGCUCCGUACCUCAAAACCCAGAGGAGCCUGUCCUUCUUGGCCUCCAAUCAUAGAAGGUAAAAACCCAAAAAUUUUGUCCACCAUUUCUUGGUCACUGAUAACAUCAUGAUUUGUUGGUGUGUUACUCCUUUGUCUUGCUUCGUCCUC